AGUUGUGAAGAUAAGAAUAGGUUCCUUCUGAGAAUUGCACGAGCCUGAUGCCACCAACAUCAUUCCUGAAGAAGUUUUAUGGAGGAGAAGACCAGUUUUCAAGAUGUGGUCGGUGAUGGAAGGGGACGUUGGAACAAGAGCGGCGGCUAGGUGAAUAAGGCUUCACGAUUCAACUUCACAUAAGUGUAUCACAUAGAUAAGUUCAAAAUUGCUGCUGCAUACCAAAUAGUGGAAGCUACGUUAAACAAGGAUCUGUUAAUCCCAAAGGAUAACUGAAACAUUCCUCGUCUUGAUUUCGUUAAUUCCUCAAAGUAAAAGCUGAAACAAGGUUUAAGAUCGGUAUCAAACGCAAAUCAGCAACACAAGAGAUUUGUUCACUCGAUGUUCGCUAAGCUACUCACUUGGGAGGGAAUCAAAAUCUCUCAACUGAUCACUAUCAAUAUACUCAAGGUUACAAGAUCAAAACAAUGAAGAAUGUGAAAGAGAUUACAGGGGAUCACCGCUUGCUGAUCAUAUCCUCUGUGAGAUCUGAAAGUCAUCGCCGGGAAGGUAUGACUAACCGUUUACCACUUUCGCAACUCCGUCGAUCCUCACCUUCACGACUCAAGCUAAGUUGAUUGCCUUCUCUCUUCUCUCUCUGUUUCUCUGAAUUGUUUCUCUCUCUUGUUCAACGUGAUGAUGAUGACAGCUCACGAGUUUUUUUUAUAACAAACUCUUCCACUAUCAACUUCUGAAACUCAUCAUUUCAUUUAUCACGCAGACUUGGAGAGACUUUGGGCUGAGACUUGGGCUUUCUUUCUUUCUUGCAGGUUUCAGACGAACUAGGCCGUGGAACACGAAGCCCAUUCGGUGUUAGGCUGAACUAAACCCACAAUCUCAACCUUUCAGAGAUAACACCGAAAUUCUCUCUCUCUCUCUCUCUCUCUCUCUCUCUCUCUCUCUCUCUCUCUCUCUCUCUCUCUCUCUAUCUCUCUCUCUCUCUUCGAAACCCUAGCCUCCAUUCUCUCCCCUUUCUCUUUAAGACGAUUUGUCGCCUCCAUCAUUUAUCGGAGCUGUUCCGACGAUUUCCUGAGCUUCUCUUCGCUCCUCUGACUCCUGAGAACCCUUACAAAUGCCAAGACUCAGUCACAAUUUCUGAUCAGAAAACUUUGAAUGACUCGGAAACUGAACCGACGAUUCUUCAAUGAAUCUGCAUGAGCCCGAUCUGAACCAGACUGCCUCUGGAUCAACCAUCUGACAUCAAAAGCUUCAACCUUUUCAAAUCACGGAACCCAGAUAACUCUUCCCUGACCUUACUCUUUCCGAUGAACACAUAACAUUUCCUGAUGUACUGAUGUUGAUUGUAGAAACCUUUUCUUAAUCUGAUCUUUCUUUGUUUUCAGGAAACCCGAAAAUACUCCACCUGAAACUGUUCAUGCACCUACAGAGAUCUCCACCUCGCUUCCAAUACUCGGGUAACCAACAACGGAGACACAUCGUUACCGAAGCCGCUUCUUCUUCAGAACAGGUUCACCAGUUCAGGGAAAAGCCUGAACUUCGGAUCAGCUUCUGUAGCAGCCAUGUACUCCGCCUCACAUGAAGAGAGUUCUACAGUGGGUUGCUUAGACGAUAUCCAUGUGAUCGGUGAUGUUCCAAGGUAGAACAUAAACUCUUUCGUGCUUCUUCCAUAAUCAACAUACUAGAUUUUGACCCGUGCUUGGAAGCGCGGGUUUUCUUUGGAUUGUAAUCAAAGUUUCUUAAUAAAUAUUUUAGAAUUCUUGUAUAUUAUUAUGUUAUAAAAUCUUAUUAUAUCGAAAAAGAAAUUUGUUUAAAAUAUAAAUCUAAGAAUUAGUUUAUUUAAGAUUUCAU
Molecule: RNA transcript, 1848 nt
Organism: Raphanus sativus (radish)
Lineage: Eukaryota; Viridiplantae; Streptophyta; Magnoliopsida; Brassicales; Brassicaceae
Exons: 6
Source: RefSeq, a predicted model, not a curated record